Molecule: long non-coding RNA, 12714 nt
Filed under: Octopus vulgaris (common octopus)
Lineage: Eukaryota; Metazoa; Mollusca; Cephalopoda; Octopoda; Octopodidae
Source: RNAcentral
CUUUUAUUUUUCUAACAUUACCGAGUUUCAAAAAGGUACGUUCCAUUAUUACGUCUUCUAGUUUUGUUAUUGUUAUAUUCUAUGUUCGAUUAUUCAAUUUUACCACCCAUAUACACACACACACACACACACACACACACACACACACACACACACACACACACACACACACACACACACACACACACACACACACGUACACGCUCACGUACAUACACACACGACCCUCCAUAAAUCCCAAAUUUUAUUUUGGUACUUAUGGGAGCAACUGUCUUCGAAGACAUAUUGCUAUUCAAUGCUCGAAAUGAGGAGUAGAUAGACAGCCUACAACUGAUGAAGGGUUGUUAUUUGUGUUACUUGUUCUGUUUUCCAUUUGUUUCUCUCGUUGUUUGUGUAUUGAAAUCAUUUGAUUUCGUAUUUUAUGCUGUUUGCUGUUGGUGACGACCUGUACCCAUAUAUGCAUGUGUAUAUAUAUAUAUAUAUAUAUAUAUAUAUAUAUAUAUACGACAGGCUUCUUUCAGCUUUCAUCUACUAAACACACUCACAAGUCUGUGGUCGGCCCGAGGCUAUAGUAGAAGACACUUGCCCAAGGUGCCACGCAGUGAGACUGAACCCGGAAUCAUGUGGUUGGGAAGCAAGUUUCUUACCACACAGCUACGCCUCCGCCUGAAUGGUCAUUUUAUUAUUAUUAUUAUUAUUAUUAUUAUUAUUAUUAUUAUUAUUAUUAUUAUUAUUAUUAUUAUUAUUUUGACCUUCCCGAAAUAUUACAAUGAAUUUAGACCACUUUAUGUAAGAUAGAAAUUAACUAGCAGAAUCUAGUUGAAUCUCAGCUUCUUAACCAGAUGUGUUCGUGUUGGUGUGCCUGGUUAAAAUGGUUUGGCACCAGCCAGCUUUAAGGAGCAACAGUCACCGUAGUACUGGUAAAAAAAUGCAGAAGACAGCUCGUCUGCGCUGGGAGCCAGAGGCUGGACUGUUAUGGCGUGCAAUAAAAAGUUGUGGUUGUUGCUAUUGUUACAACACCAAUUGUGAUCGUUGGUACCGUCGUUAUUGCGAUUGUUGCUAUUGUUGUAUUUGCUACUAUUGUUUAUGUUAAUGUCGCUACCGUUUCCGUUGCUACUGUUCUCGAUGCUGAUAGUAUUGUUGCUAUCGAUAGUACCAAUGUUGCUCUUGCUAUCAUUGUUGUUGCUAUCGUUUUUGUGCUCUUGUUUUUUUUUGCGAUUGUUAUCGCUGUCGCUGUUGUUUAUGAUGUUGUUGCUGCUAAUUGUUCUAAGAGCUGCUGUUGCUAUCGUUGUUGACAUUACUUGUAAGCGCGUUUGUUGUUGCCUGUGCUAUUGUCGGGCUUGUUGAAGCCACUGUUGUGGUUGUUGGUGAUAAUGAUGGUGGUGCUAGUGGUAGUGGCGGCGGCGGAGGCGCUUUGUUGUCGUUGUUGUUUUUCCUUUUGAUGUUUCUAUUGUUGUUGUUGUUGUGAGGAUUCUGCCCUUUCAUGUUUUUCUUAAGAUUGUUUGUGUAGAUGUCGCUGUUAUGAUUUUUCCUCGUUAUUUGUUGUUGCUGUAAAUCUCCUUGAAGUCGUUAUGUUUUUUUUUAUUCCGGCUGUUGUUUGUGUUGUUAUCGUUGUUGUUGUUGUUGUUGUUGUUGUUGUUGUUCCUAAACUAACCAACGGCCCCUCCUCACUCAAACACAAACUAGGUCUAUUUCGCUUUCUUCUCAUCCCCUUUCUCAAUUCACUUUAUAAACAUCAUCACCAUCACCAUCAUCAUCACUUCCGCAACAACUAUCACAACAACCACCAAUAUCUCCACUACCACAAUCACCACCAUCAUCAUCAACAUCACUGCCACAAUAACCAUUACAUCUAUCACUAUCACCACCAUAACUAUUAUCAUCAUCAUCAUCAUAAACAUCAUGACAUGUUUAUACAUUAUAUAUAUUUUAUCUAUAUUUUUAUCAUGAAUUUAUUAUUAUUAUUAUUAUUAUUAUUAUUAUUAUUAUUAUUAUUAUUAUUAUUAUUAUUAUUAUUGUUAUUAUUAUUAUUAAUUGAAGGCGGCGAGCCGGUACAAUCGGUAACACGCGAGGCAAAAUGCUUAUCCCCAUUCCUUUUGCCUUUGCGCUCUGUGUUCAAAUUCUGCUAAAAUCUGACUUUCUGAUUCGAUAAAAUAUGUACCAGUUGGACACUGAGGUCGUUGUAAUCGACUUACAAUCUCCCCCAAGAUUGCAGGCCUUGUGCCGAAAUUUGAUACCAUAUUAAUAGUUAUAUUCAUAAAAUAUAUUUCCCAUUUAAUAAUGAAACACGUGUAACACAGAAUUAAAAUGGUACUUCUUACUCUGCAAAUAUAAUUCACCAGGUAUCUCAACUUACAUGUAUGAUGUACUCAUUUAAAAUAUUAUCUAUUAAAGGCACAAUGCCUGAAAUUUCGGUAGACGGGUUAUAGUCGAUUACAUCGACCCCAGUGUUUCACUGGUACUUAAUUUAUCGACUCCGAAAGGAUGAAAGGCAAAGUCAACCUUGGCGGAAUUUGAACUCAGAACAUAAAGAUGGACGAAAUGCUGUUAAGCAUUGUUUCCGGCAUGCUAACGAUUCUGCCAGUUCGCCGCCUUAUUUUCUCUUGUAAAAUAAAACAUCUCCAUACUUGAAUAUUCUGUUAUUGGAAUAUAAUACGUAUGUGUGUGAUGCAUAUAUAAUACAAAAUUACAUUAAAAAUACAAAAAUAAAACCGGAAGAGUAAAAAGGAAAAGAAAAACAAACAAAACAAAAAUACAUUAACUCAACGGAACCUACUGAAGCAAGCCAACACGCGCGCGGCGUUAGCACAGGCGAUGGAGAGACUAAGGAGUUAGAACAGCCAAGCACCCACACGAGCAUUACCUGGCCUCUACAAAUAUACAUUUGAUUGCUAGAAUACACAGACAUGCUUAACGAGGACAUAGCUUCGUUUAUAAUCCCUAUAUAUAUAUAUAUAUAUUGGACUUUCUUCAGUUUCUGAAGAGGAGCGUGGCUCGAAACGUUAAACCAUCUUACUUUUCUUCCCGUAGCGUCUGCUAAUACUUUACAUGUACCAUGUCCUCACGUUGUUGUUUGUGUGUGUGUGUUUGUGUGUGUGUGUGUGUGUGUGUGUGUGUGUGUGUGUGUGUGUGUGUGUGUGUGUGUGUGUGUGUGUGUGUGUGUGUAAAGUAAACAGAAAUAUAUAAACAGAAACAUUUCUGUUUACUUUAAAUUUGAUUCCAGAUAAUCUCAUGUUUAUCUUUGUCUUUACCUAUAACCUAUGAGCAUAAUAUGCUUACAUACGUUUGUCCAGGGUUAACACAUGCUAUUUCUAGCAUGUAUAAUUGCCUGUUAAAGGGUAGCUUUCUUUUGUGUUUUAAAUGUACACUAUUUUAAAAUAUGAAUAUGUUGUCUAUUGACUAUUUAUACAUGCUAGGCCACUAGUGGUGAUAUUUAUAACGAAUAUUCGCUACCCUAUAUAUGUAUCUUAUGAAUAUGUUCUUAGCAUUCUCGAAGAUUCAGCUCGGCAUUAUAUUUAUUGCCGACAGUAGAUUCGCCUGCGCGCGGAAUUUUGAAAAAUUAUAACAUAUAAUGACAGGACACGUGUUAUCUUUCUCUGAAUUAUAAGUUAGUUAUUGAGGCCGGUUACUGACGAGAAUUCGCCUGGCGGAUAAUAUUGUUUUGCUAAAUUACCUAUUAAAGGAUGGAAAAUAAUUUUAUUUGCUAAAGAAAUUCGAAACCAUGGUAUAACCGCUAAUAAAAAAUAACAAAGUAAAAGUUUUUAUUUUUCAUUUACUUCGAAAAUUGCUAUUAAAUCGUGGUUUUGGCCGUGUAGACUGCUAUUUCUAGCAUGUAAAAAUUACUUGUUAAAGGGUAGUUUUCUUUUGUGUUUAAAUGUACACUAUCUUAAAAUAUGAAUAUGUUGUCUAUUGACUAUUUAUACAUGCUAGGCCACUAGUGGUGAUAUUUAUAACGAAUAUUCACUACCCUAUAUAUGUAUCUUAUACAUAUAUAUAUAUAUAUAUAUAUAUAUAUAUAUAUAUAUAUAUAUAUAUAUAUAUAUAUAUAUAUAUAUAUUACGCAAAGAUGAAAAUAACACUGACAUCUCAUUUUAAUAGAUAUAUUUACUAAAAUUACAUAAAAAUAUCUUGAAAUACUAAAGAGUAAAUUUAUCCAAUAAAAUUGCCAUUGGCUUCAACCACGGCCUCCAAACGACUUCGGAAUCUCCUGCAACUCUUCUCCUUGUUUAAGAUGGUGAAUGCUGCCAUAAUCCUUGCCUUCGGUUCAUCUUUGGUGUUACAAAGUGUUUUUUGGUCUCUCACUCAACUGCGCCCCACACAUGAUAAUCAAGGGGAUUGCUCUCUAGGGAGUUAGGUGGCCAUAUGUUAGGGAUGGUGUGGUCGCAGAAAUUGUCUGACAGCCAUGACUGGGUUCUCCUACUUGUGUCGUAUGAUGCAGAGUUCUGUUGCCAGACAUAGGGUGUUGCAGCAGCCACCCUCUUGACCCAGAGAAGCAUUACCUCCUCCAGGCACUUGAUGUAAGCCUCUGUGUUGAAUCUGAGGCCGUGUAGGAAGAUGAAUAGAAGCAUAAUGUCACCAUCACUAGUGAUCACUCCAAACACUAUGAUGUUGACUAGAUGUUUGAUUUUUAUCACUCUCGGUACAUGUCCUUAGAUUGCUCUGUCCAGAUUGACACCCAAACAUUGAAAUGUUCGUACUGGAGCUUCCGGCGUGACUGCCAAGCAGUACAGCAUGUCGUUUCCAAAUUUCUGACAGAGUGAAUUGCGUCAUGGUACCGUUUUCCUCACAGACAGUGGCCAACCGACCCUAGUAUACUGUGUAGUCGACAAAAUCAAAAGCAACUAAUGCGCAUGCGCAAAUUAAAAAUAUAAAAUGGUGACAAUUUACCCAUCGUACUAAUAUGUAAGAAAUUUCGUCCUAACGAAAUCCGGACACACUGUGGGGUUCUUUUAUAUCUAACAUGGUUCGAAUCGUGAUGAUCCGAAGCAACUGUUCAUCUAGUGGCCGGAUUGAAACAUGUGUAGGCAUCUUUUUUUUAUUAUUUCUUAUGUUUCUGUUACUUUAAUUAUUUGAUUAUUUCUUAUGAUUCUCUUACUUUAAAUUUUAUUUGUAUUACAUUAUUUGAUAUGUAUUCAUCGUGAUACAAAUAAAAUUAAACAAGUAUCCACUAUAUUUCUUCUCCUUUUUCUUAUAUUUACUUAACGCUAUAUAUAUAUAUAUAUAUAUAUAUAUAUAAUGCGUUUCAAAUUAUUAACGACGUAACAUUUUAAAUUUUAUUUGAAAACUACUUGUGAGAAUUUAACGAAUUUUUUACAGAAUGAUAACAACAUUUAUAUGCGCAUGGUGUGUAAAAAUGUGAGGUUCCAUAAACCAACAUGGAAACUAGGCCAUUUACCAAAUUUUCGUAAACUUUCAGUUUCAAAUUAUUAGCGAGGUGUAAUUAAAACUCAUGUAAAGAAGAAUAUACCAAUUUGUUUGAUGUGCAUACUGAAAUGAAUACAUACAGUCGUAAACAUGGAGGAAAUAGAAAUAAACAAAUUAACAGCGUUCAAACAUGAUAGGUGAGCUGGUUAGUAAGGUAUAUAUGAGCGUUUGUUUGAAAUAAGUUGAAAAGGUGGUGGUCCAUUGAACAUGCCAAUUUCUGGAUCUCUGAUGUUAUACCAUGAGAUACAUCUAAUAUUGCCUGCCACCCUUACUCGUAAAUUGGCGUCCAUUUUCGUAAAUUCGUCGCUUUAGAGUACCCCACAAGAUUUUUUAUUGGGUUUACGUCGGAGGAACAGGCAGGCCACUUCAUCUUCCGAGGUCAACAGAAGCUUAAUUGUUGCAGACACUUUGUAGUUUUCUUCGCUGAGUGCGUAUUAUCUUGCAUAAAUAUUAUGGUUGUCUUGGAGGUGAUUCUUUGCAUUUUUAACCAAGGUUCAAGGUGUUCCUUCAGGAAAGCUAUGUAAGCAUCUUCAGUCAUUUUAACACCGUCAGGCACUUUCCAAAGACCAACCAUAGCUCCAAUAACACCUGCCCAAAUCAUGAUGCCUCCUCCUGCUCUCAAGCAUUGAUGAUGAUCUCCUUCAUUUACAACCCAACCCUUGCUCCAGCCAUCAGUCCAUCAAGAGUAGCACGAGUUUCGUUCGUAAACAAAACUUUUGAAAAAUCAACCUUCAUGUUAUCAUCUGCCCAUUUCAGACGAUUUUGUAUGUGUAUUUUGUUUAAAGGAAGCCUUUUAACUGAUGUCAUUAGUUUGCCGACCUUUUUCAGAAGACAACAUCGGGUAGUUCUGAACACAGUUGUUUCACUAAUGCACUUGAAAAGUUCUCCACUUGUAAGACCUGGGUUCUUCACAGCUUCACGCUUCAUUCGUGGCAGAGAACAUUGAGAAACAGCCCUCGACUGAUUCUCGUCGGCUAUCAUACGUAUCUAUGUAGAAGCUGCAACAAUUUAUUUUUUCAUAGUUUUGCGAUAACUUCCAAUUAUUUUAGAUAUUUCUAAUGUUGAUUUACCUUCUGCAAGUAAUAACAGAAUAACAGAUUUCUCUGAAGCAGUUAAGUCACUUUUACGACCUAUAAUUACACAAUUAUCAGACCACUCGCUAAUAAUUUGGAACACUGAAAGUUCGUGGAAAUCAUGCAAAUGGUCGCCGUUUGUUUACAUAUGUGCAAAACGUCACGUUUUUUACACACUAAGCGCAUAUAACUGUUGCUAUUAUUCUAUGGAAAUUUUGUUAAAUUCCAACGUGUAGUUUCUACAAAAGAUAAAAGAAAGUUACAUCAUUAAUAAUCUGAAAUGCAGUGCAUAUAUAUAUGUAUAUAUAUAUAUAUAUAUAUAUAUAUAUAUAUAUAUAUAUAUAUAUGUAUAUAUAUAUAUAUAUAUCCUAUUGGUGUUUUCAUUAUUAAUCAGUAGAAAUUAGUGUGCAUUGGCUCUUAACAAUUUUCUCUUCUCUCUCUCUCUCUCUCUCUCUCUCCAUAUAUAUAUAUUUAUAUACACGCGCGCGCACACACACACACACAAUAUAUAUAUAUAUAUAUAUAUAUAUAUAUAUAUAUAUAUAUAUAUAUAUAUAUAUAAGAGAGAGAGAGAGAGAGAGAGAGAGAGAGAGAGAGAGAGAGAGAGAUAGAUAGAUAGAUAGAUAGAUAGAUAGAUAGAUAGAUAUGUUUCUUUAUUAGCCAAACAGGGCUGCACACAGAUAGAACAAAUUACAAGGUAGAGCUUUUCUUUUGAAGAUUAAAAAAAAAGGGGGGGAGUUUCGAUCAAAAGGGAUCGUAAAAGGAGAGAAAGAGGACAAAAAAGGGGGGUUAAAAAAAGGGGGGAGAGGAAAAUAAUUGAUCAAUAGGGAUCGUUAUCACAGAAAUGUCAAUAUGAAGUGUAAAGGGGAGGACAGGUGAGGUUUACCCGUGGAAAGAAAAGCCUACGGAAAAGACCACGGUAACCUCGGUCAGUGAAGUCACAUGUUAUAUUUCUUUCUUUUAUUAUUUUUUUUUUUUUGCAAAUAAGCAACUCUCUGUAUUAAUUUUUAUGGUUCAUAGAAUCAUAGUCAAGGUGGCUUCGUCAUUCAUACGUGCCAUCCUUGUUACAUUCACCCAUCUUUUUUUAAAACAUUCACUAGACAAAACUUGCCUCUCUACUCUCACUUUCCUCCUCAAGUGAUACUUGAAGAAGUUGAUGAGAGAUUGACCAGAGAGGAAAGUGUUUGUCUCUAAUCCUUUCAGGCGCGUCCACCAGAUACAUUCUUUCGCCAUAGCCACAAGUAUGAUAAAAAUAGCUCUUCCUUCCCGUUUGAAGGAAGGAGGCGUGACGAUAUUAACGAUAGACUCGGCUGAUAAACCGACACGUCCCACACGUGACAGCAGUCGUUCGACAUAAGCCCACAGGUGGGAAAUUGCUGGACACUGCACGAUUGCGUGCAGAGCGGUUUCGUCGCUCUGCCCGCAUCUCGGGCAGGUCGGCCCCGUGUUUCUCGAGCCAUGCCUAUAGAGCUUAUCCCGAACGGGUAGCGCUUCUCGGUAGCACCGCCAGGCCAGGGAUCUCUGGAAGUUGUCCAUAGGUCCCGGGCCGAAAGUCGUUUGAAACAGGCGGGUCAGGUAUUCCUCGUCGACGCCCAGGUUUGCACCGAGAUCGUCGUCGUACCUCCCCUCCACUAAGAUAGAUAGAUAGAUAGAUAUUAUCAAAACAUUGGCAUAGAGUACCGAUAAGUUUAUGACAUUCCACUUUGAAGGCUACCUCCAUACAAUUCAAGAACAAGCAAUCCACACCAAAUACCUGCAGUAUUCAAAGCAAAAGGCACUGGCCGACAACAAAUGUAGGGUUUGCAAACCCAAAGCUGAAGACACCAGCCAAAGUUAUUGCUAACUGCGAAAGAUUGUCUUCUAGACACCAUCUUCACAUGAGGCAUUGAGCGGAGAUGAGAACAGUUUGGAACGGGAUGAGAAAAAUAAAAACUUCCAUCACGAACUUGACUAUAUUGACUCCGAUGGCCGAUGAGUCAAGAGAGUCUUGGUGAAACUUGAAAAUAAAAAUAACCACCAAGUCAAAACACAAUCGACCAGAUAUUAUUGUGUGGGACCACACACACACACACAAAAUACUAUAUUGUAGAAUUUUAAUCGGCAGCAAAUGAAAAGUGCUGAAUUAACUUCCGAAAAUAUGUUGUCUAUUGACUUUUAUAGAUGCUGGUAGUGAAAUUUCUAAAAUUUUGCUAUCCUAUGUUAAUUUAUGAAUAUGAUUUUAGUCAUUUCGGAAGUUAAUUCGGCACUUUUCACUCACCAACGAUCGAAACCGCGCUUGCGCGGUGAAUUUGAAAAAUUAUAAUAUAUAAUGAUGAGACACGUGCUAUUCUGUCUCUAAAUUAUAUGUUAGUGUUUUGGUGUAGCCACUGAUGAGAACUUCGCCUAGCAAAUUAUUUUAUUUGCUAAUUAGAGUUCGAAACCUAGGUAUGGCUGUAAAAAAAAAGGUAAAAGUUCAUAUUGUUCAUUCCCUUCGAAAUUGCUCUUAAAUGUGGUUUUGGAUGUUUUGACUGCUCCUUCUAGCAUGUAAGGCUGCCUGUUAAAGGUCGCCUCUUUUGUGUUUAAAUGUACACUAAUAUAUAUAUAUAUCGUUAAUCCAAGCAUGAAAACACAAAGGGAAAACACAACAACGCGAGGACGUGGAACAAGUGCUUUUUGGACGCUCAGGAAAGGAAAGAAAGAAGGACGAUUUAACAUUUCGAGCUGAGCUCUUCGUCACAAACAUAGAAAAAGGAAAGAUCCAAGGAAGGGAAGACGGAGGGUAAAAAUCGCCAAGAUACACACGCGGUCACAUAUUGAAUGACCCUUUUUUGUUCUCUUAUGUAUAUAUGUAUGUAUGUAUGUAUGUAUGUAUAUAACAAGAGGUUCUUUCACUUUCCGUCUGCCAAAUCCACUCACAAGGCUUUGAUCGGCCCGAGACUAUAGUAAAAGACACUUGCCCAAGGUGUCGCGCAGUGGAACUGAACCCGGAACCAUGUGGCUGAGCAGCAAGCAUCUUACCACACAGUUACACCUGUGCCUGUAUUUACAAAUUUGUUGGAAAAUAGCUGUUGCUCUUAGUAUUUCGAACCAUUUUAGUACUUUCUGUGCAUAAAUUGUGUCCGUAUGGUAAAUUUUGCAUAUUUUGUGAAAAUGUGCCAGUCAACAGAUCUGGUUGCUAUAUUACUAUCUCACCAAUAAUAACAUGGAAUAGCACAAAGUUGUAAUUAUAAGACUGCUAUAUAGACAGUUUCUUUGUUCACUGAUGAGAUUGAAUUAGCAAUCGAAACAAAACACCAAGUCUACAGUAAACUGAUAUCGUUUUAAUAUUAAUAUUCGUACGCACUAUGGCAUGGCAUAUUUUGAUUGUGUAUGUGUGUGUGCGCAUGUGUAUGUGUGUGUGUAUGUGUAGAUGUGUGUGUGUGUGUGUAUUAGGUUAGAUUUCAUUAAGCGCUUCUUUAGAAUAGUCAGCACUGUGACUAAUAAAGAUAUAUUGAAAGAUGUAUUGGGGAAAAUAUAUGUAGGCGCGCGCGCGCGUGUAUGUGUGCGUGUGCGUGCGUGUGUGUGUGUGUGUGUGAAUGUGUGUGUGACACACAGAGACGUAUAUGGGGGAAGGUAUAUGUGUGUGUGUACGUGUAUACACGCACACUUCCAGAAAUUAGAGAGAGAGAGAAAUAACAAGAGAUAAAGAAAUAGACAGACAACCAGGUAGACAGACAGACAGACAGAGACCGAGGUAUAUUAAAAUAUAUUAAUUGCUUUACAUCAUCUUCAUAUUUGCUUUUCUAAUCUUCGGAAGGAACCUCUAUGCAGUCACUUGUACUGCUAGAAAUAGCAGCAAAAUCUGGAGUUAAACAAUAACAGCAACAGCACUACCACCACCACAACCACCACCAUCACCACCACUCCCAUCAUUAUCUCUACUAUUACAAUGACCAUUGCUAUCAUCAUUAUCAUCAUUACCGUUACCAAUACCACGCCAACUAGCACUGCAACUACAACCACAACCACUACCACUUACCACUUACCACUACUACCAUUAUAAACACGACCAUUACUAUCGCUAUCCCAACCACUACCAUCACUACUUACUACUACUACUACUACUACUACUACUACUACUACUACUACUACUACUACUAAUACUACUACUACUAUCAUCGCCACCAUCAUAAUUACCGUAACCACUAAUACAACAGCCAGCAUCAUCAUUACCUCUUUAACCACCACCACUGCUACCACAACCACCACCACCACUACCACCACCACGACUACUAACACCACUACUACUAUUACUAUCAACCUGCAUCACGUCCAAACCUCAUUCACUCUUCCUAUCCCCUCUCUCUCUCUCACUCACUCUAUCACUCUCCACUCACCGCCACCACCGCUACUACCAUUGUAUUUCUCUGCAGUACCUCUUCUUCUUCUUCUUCUUCUUCUUCUUCUUCUUCUUCUUCUUCUUCUUCUUCUUCUUCUUCUUCUUCUUCUUCUUCUUCUUCUUCUUCUUCUUCUUCUUCUUCUUCUUCCUCCUCCUUCUCCUUCUCUUGUUCCUCCUCCUCCUCAUGUGGUCACCUUUCUCCCACCCACCCCCAACUUCCACCACAUCACCUCCCCCCACACACACACGCACACACACGUUUUCCUUCCGCUCCUCCUUAUAUAGGCCAUAUGAAAGGUUUCACUUCUAUGCAUCCAUAGCAAGCUGAAGCCUCACACUUGUCAACGGUUCCACAUUUCACCGUCCCAAGCAUUUUACUACCAGGGAGACAUCGUCUUUAUGUGGCGGCGCUGGCGUGGCUGGUGGCAGUGAUUGUAGUGAAAGACUUGGUGGUUUGUGGUGGGGGGGGGUAGUUGUGGUGGUGGUGGUGGGGGUGGUAGUGGGGUGGUGAUGGGGGUUAGUGAUUGUGUUGGCCGUGGUAGUGAUGUUGAUGUAGCAAUGAUGGUGAUCAUUGUAGUGUUAUGGUGGUGGUGGCGGCGGCGGCGGCGGUGGUGGUUACAAUGUUGCAGUUGUAGUGUGCUGAUGGUGAUGGUUAUUGUGGUAGCGUCAUGGUGGUGGUGGUGGUGGUGGUGGUGGUUGUGGUGGUGGUGGUGGUGGUGGUGGUGGUGGUGGUGAUGGUGGUAGUGAUGUUAUUGUUGGUGGCGGUGGUGGUGGUUAUCUCAUCAUCUACUUUCUACUUCAUAUAUAAAGUUGCUUUUUCUCUUUUUAUUUAUUGUUAUUAUUUAAAUUUUUUUUUCUUUUUGCAACUCCCUAGGGUGUGAUUUCGCUGCUGCUUUUAACGUGUCGAGUAGCCACAUGCAUUGAUAACGCUUUUGAUUAUUUUUCACUAAUUCAUACAUACAUAUAAGCACAUACGUACACAUAUAUGCAUGCAUACAUACACACAUACGAGUACAUUUACAUGCAUAUACACACAAACACACAAAUACAUGCAUAUAUACAUGCAUAUGGAGAUAACAGACACAUACAUAGGUACAUACAUAUACACACGUAUACCCACACAUACAUACAGAGAGGUUACACAGGUUAUUUAUAAACAAAGACAACCAAACGUAAUGUUACAUGACAUUUGCCAAAUUUAAACUUUUUCAUUUCUCUUUCAGAUAUAUCAACAACCGUCAUCACGGUAAAUUCCACUUUGACGCUGAGCUUGUGACUGUAGCUGUGUCAACAACAGUGAUUUGGAGAUCGCCAGCUCUGAAGUGUGGUUGGGUUCUUUGUGUUAGGAGUCAAAAAAGAGGCGAGUCCUCUCAAUGGGGACGUGUUAUCCUUGGUCAAAGAGAUUUUCAGCGAUUACACGUCGUAAGGACGGCCGGGUUUUUCCAUCAACGACAACCCCAGCGAGUUGAUGUUGGCCAUCACCAAGCAGCUCAAGAUGUGUGGCGCACGAUGUUACUAUCCUACGUAAUGAGGAGAAGGCAGUUUAUGCCGGGCAAGACUAAGGCGAAUUGAUACAAAACCUAUGAACUGUUGUGUCUAGGAAAUCGUCAGUAAGAGGACUCAGCCACCGGUGGCCCCUGCAGUUUCAAGGACUCACUAAAUCUGUGGGAUGUUGUAGACGGCACGAACAGCUGUCACAUGAGACUGGCAUGUAGUCGUCCACCACGGCUACAUCAUUAGGCCUGAUGUUUUAUGCCUUAUUUCUUUGAUGUUAUCUUGUUCAAAGCGCUACUGUUUUCCUGGGAUUUUUGUAUACUUUUCCCUCGUAUUUUGUUUUAUAAUCAACUACCUAGUGCUCGC